Molecule: ribosomal RNA, 494 nt
Filed under: uncultured bacterium
Lineage: Bacteria
Description: partial 16S ribosomal RNA
Rfam family: Bacterial small subunit ribosomal RNA
Source: RNAcentral
GACGAACGCUGGCGGCGCGCUUAACACAUGCAAGUCGAACGGAAAGGCCUGCUUUCCCUUGUGGAUUGCGGGUACUCGAGUGGCGAACGGGUGAGUAACACGUGAGCGAUCUGCCCCCAACUUGGGUAUAAGCCUGGGAAACUGGGUCUAAUUCCCGAUAGGACUGCAGGGUGGUGCCUGUGGUGGAAAACGAUUUUCUAGUGGUUGGGGAUGAGCUCGCGGCCUAUCAGCUUGUUGGUGGGGUAAUGGCCUACCAAGGCGGCGACGGGUAGCCGGCCUGGGAGGGUGGACGGCCACAUUGGGACUGAGAUACGGCCCAGACUCCUACGGGAGGCAGCAGUGGGGAAUAUUGCACAAUGGGCGGAAGCCUGAUGCAGCGACGCCGCGUGGGGGAUGACGGCCUUCGGGUUGUAAACUCCUUUCGACCGCGAGGAAGCCACCUGGUUGGAAGGGUGGUGACGGUAGUGGUAGAAGAAGCACCGGCUAACUACGUG